UUAGCGGCGCGGCCUGACGCGGACCCGGGCGGUGGGAGUUUGCGCGGCAUAUCCUGAGGUGACCGGCGUGCACGCGUGCCGAGCGGUGCAGCAUGGCCGACGCAGGAGUAAACACUUUGCCAAAGAGGCAUAAAAAGAAGAAGGACAGGAAAUCAUUACCAGAAGAAGAUGUGGCCGAAAUACAACACGCUGGAGAAUUUCUUAUCAAGCCAGAAUCCAAAGUGGCUCAGUUGGACACGUCUCAGUGGCCUCUCUUGCUCAAGAACUUCGAUAAGCUGAACGUAAGGACAACACACUACACACCUCUUCCUUGUGGUUCCAACCCUCUGAAGAGGGAGAUUGGGGACUAUAUAAGGACAGGCUUCAUUAAUCUUGACAAGCCUUCUAACCCCUCUUCUCAUGAGGUGGUAGCCUGGAUCCGGCGCAUCCUCCGCGUGGAGAAGACAGGGCACAGUGGCACACUGGACCCCAAGGUGACUGGCUGUUUAAUCGUGUGCAUAGACCGAGCCACUCGCUUGGUAAAGUCACAGCAGAGUGCAGGCAAAGAGUAUGUGGGAAUUGUUCGGCUGCACAAUGCAAUUGAAGGGGGGAGCCAGCUUUCUAGGGCCCUGGAAACUCUGACCGGCGCCCUAUUCCAGCGACCCCCACUCAUCGCUGCGGUAAAGAGGCAACUCCGGGUGAGGACGAUCUAUGAGAACAAAAUGAUCGAAUAUGACCCUGAAAGAAGAUUGGGAAUCUUUUGGGUGAGUUGUGAGGCCGGCACCUACAUUCGGACGCUGUGCGUGCAUCUGGGUUUGUUGCUGGGAGUUGGUGGUCAGAUGCAGGAACUUCGGAGGGUUCGUUCUGGAGUCAUGAGUGAGAAGGAUCACAUGGUGACGAUGCAUGACGUGCUCGAUGCACAGUGGCUGUAUGACAACCACAAGGAUGAGAGUUACUUGCGGCGAGUCAUUUACCCUUUGGAAAAGCUUUUGACAUCUCAUAAGCGGCUGGUUAUGAAGGACAGUGCAGUCAAUGCCAUCUGCUAUGGGGCCAAGAUCAUGCUUCCAGGUGUUCUCCGGUAUGAGGACGGCAUUGAGGUCAACCAGGAGAUUGUGGUCAUCACUACCAAGGGGGAAGCAAUUUGCAUGGCUGUUGCAUUAAUGACUACAGCAGUGAUCUCUACCUGUGACCACGGUAUAGUGGCCAAGAUCAAAAGAGUGAUCAUGGAGAGGGACACUUACCCUCGGAAGUGGGGCUUAGGGCCCAAGGCAAGUCAAAAGAAGAUGAUGAUCAAGCAGGGCCUUCUGGACAAGCACGGCAAGCCCACCGACAGCACCCCUGCCUCGUGGAAGCAAGAGUACGUGGACUACAGUGAGUCUAGCAAGAAAGAAGUAGUUGCUGAAGCAGUAAAAACACCACAGGCAGUUGCUAAAGUGACCAAAGCCCCACAGGUAGUCACUGAGGUAGUAAAAAUCAAGAAGCGGAAGCGAGAGAGUGAGAGUGAAAGUGAGGAGACCCCAGCAGCAGCCCUCAAGUUGUCCAAGAAGGAAAAAAAGAAGGACAAGAAGGCCAAAGCUGCACCAGAGAUCAGGGAUGUGCCUAGAGAGGACAAUGACAUCACCAAAAAGAAGAAGAAAAAGAAGAAAGCCAAAGUGGUGGAAGUGGCAUCUGACUAGCGAGGGCUACUUUGAGCAGUUGUGUUCAGGCGACUUUUCCUAAGUGGAACCCUUGCUGAGAAAAAGUUCCUUUGGUUACUGAGGGAGUGGAACAAAGGUCCUGGACAAGGGUAGAGAAUCCCUGGCACCUUCAGCUGUUCCUCGAGACCUCCUCAGUAGCAUCACCUGGCGUGCUCAUCCCAUCUUACCCUGUUUCUAGGGUAUGGAUGAUGGAGGCAACUCCUUUUAUGCCACUGACUCAUCUGGCUUGGGAAGUUCCACCUUUGGACCCAGUGCUGCCAUUCACUAAUGAUCUUUUUUAAUGUUAUCGUCCUCUCCUAGUUUGCUUUUUUCUUACCCUAUUUAAAAAGUUUGUAUACAUUAUUCAAUAAAU
Molecule: RNA transcript, 2028 nt
Organism: Octodon degus (degu)
Lineage: Eukaryota; Metazoa; Chordata; Mammalia; Rodentia; Octodontidae
Gene name: H/ACA ribonucleoprotein complex subunit 4 pseudogene
Exons: 1
Source: RefSeq, a predicted model, not a curated record